CAUGAGAACAUUUCGAUGCAAUAGUAACUUAGUUAGUAUCUCUGCCACUUUUUUUUAACUCAUCUAAUAGAUCUCAUUCAUGACUUGACAUUCGACUUAUUUCUUCAAGAUACAACGUAUAUCAACAAUAUUGAAUAUUCAUAUUGUUGAUUAGGUCUCAACCCGGAAGCUUAUUUACACAUCAUGUAUUACGUUCUUUACAUUUACACCGUCCUUUAGCUGUUAAAUAUACACAUAACAUGAAGUAAUCCUGUUUGUAGGGAGAGCAUUUUAAAAGAGGAUGUCAUUGGAAGUAUUAAGUACAGAAGAACACACUGAUGAUGGUUAUGGGAGACAAUACAGCGCAAAACACACAGUGAGGACAACAUAUAACCACCCAAAGGGUGUCAUGUUUAUGCAUAUUCAUGAGGAUGGGAAAGAUUAUGAGGACCGUUAUCGUCACGAGACUGUAUCAAUUGGCGAUAUUGAAAUUAGAUAUUCUUAUGAUUGGGGAAACUAUUUUACAUGGGAAUAUGUUAAGAUAUCAAAACAGGGUGAUGAAAUCAGCUAUGCACAGCAAGAAUUUGGACCAGUCGAUCCCUUAAAGAAGGAAAGUCGACAAGCUAAUAUAAGGGAAAGGAGGUAUUAAAAAAACUCAGUGAAGAUCUGUGUUUAUCACUUAAAGAUUUUAUCAACAUACUUACGUCAUACUUUAAAAUCAGUUCUGAUGUUUUGAAUAUAUUCCUGAGAUAAUUUGUUAUACGGUGCAAAGUAUUUGAGUUGUGGAUAUUAAAAUUCAUAUUUAAUUAUUCUGAAAUAUAUUUUUCAUUAUUAAAAUCUUCAUAUAAAAUU
Molecule: long non-coding RNA, 831 nt
Organism: Mytilus californianus (California mussel)
Lineage: Eukaryota; Metazoa; Mollusca; Bivalvia; Mytilida; Mytilidae
Exons: 2
Source: RefSeq, a predicted model, not a curated record